GACGAACGCUGGCGGCGUGCUUAACACAUGCAAGUCGAACGGAAAGGCCCUGCUUUUGUGGGGUGCUCGAGUGGCGAACGGGUGAGUAACACGUGAGUAACCUGCCCUUGACUUUGGGAUAACUUCAGGAAACUGGGGCUAAUACCGGAUAGGAGCUCCUGCUGCAUGGUGGGGGUUGGAAAGUUUCGGCGGUUGGGGAUGGACUCGCGGCUUAUCAGCUUGUUGGUGGGGUAGUGGCUUACCAAGGCUUUGACGGGUAGCCGGCCUGAGAGGGUGACCGGCCACAUUGGGACUGAGAUACGGCCCAGACUCCUACGGGAGGCAGCAGUGGGGAAUAUUGCACAAUGGGCAGAAGCCUGAUGCAGCAACGCCGCGUGCGGGAUGACGGCCUUCGGGUUGUAAACCGCUUUCGCCUGUGACGAAGCGUGAGUGACGGUAAUGGGGAAAGAAGCACCGGCUAACUACGU
Molecule: ribosomal RNA, 467 nt
Filed under: uncultured bacterium
Lineage: Bacteria
Description: partial 16S ribosomal RNA
Rfam family: Bacterial small subunit ribosomal RNA
Source: RNAcentral